CAGGCCAAAGAAGAUGCUCACAGGAAGGGGGACAAUGUCUUGUAUAAACAGGCCAAAUACACACUGGAAAAGGAGAUCAAAGUGGCAAAGAGGAAUUAUUCUGAAAAACUAAGGACUCAGUUCACUUCCAGCGACUCAGAAUCAGUGUGGAAAAGUCUGAAAGUAAUUACCAACUACAAGACACCAUCCACCAACACUGUGGAGAAUCAACAACUGGCAGACGAUCUGAAUGAGUUCUACUGCAGGUUUGAAAAAACACCCCACACCCGCCCUGAACACCUCUCCACACAACCAUUCACACCUCCAGCAACCCCCCUCUCCCCCACACCUGCAAUUCAGAUCAGCGAAGAAGAGGUGCGCCAGGUCUUCCGGAAGCAGAAAAGGAAAAAAGCACCAGGCCCAGACUGUGUUACACCAGCCUGUCUGAAAUCCUGUGCUGACCAGCUGGCCCCCAUCUUCACACAGAUCUUCAACAGAUCACUGGAGCUGUGCGAAGUCCCUUCAUGCUUCAAACGCUCCACCAUCAUCCCCAUCCCAAAGAAAUCCAAAAUUACAGGACUAAAUGACUACAGGCCUGUGGCUCUAACGUCUGUGGUCAUGAAGUCUUUUGAAAAACUGGUGCUGGCCCACCUGAAGAACAUUACUGGACCCUGGCUGGAUUCUCUUCAGUUUGCCUACAGAGCAAACAGGUCUGUGGACGAUGCAGUUAACAUGGGACUGCAUUAUGUUCUGCAACAUCUAGACAGACCAGGGACUUAUGUGAGGAUCCUGUUCGUGGACUUCAGCUCGGCCUUUAACACUAUCAUCCCAAACCUCCUCCUGCCCAAACUAACUCAGCUCUCCGUGCCCACCUCCAUCUGUCAGUGGAUCAACAGCUUCCUGACAGACAGGCAGCAGCUAGUGAGGCUGGGAAAACUCACAUCCAGCACCCGUACGAUCAGCACUGGAGCUCCUCAGGGCUGCGUCCUCUCCCCACUGCUCUUCUCCCUGUACACCAACGACUGCACAUCUAAAGACCCCUCUGUCAAGCUCCUGAAGUUUGCAGACAACACCACACUCNNNNNNNNNNNNNNNNNNNNNNNNNNNNNNNNNNNNNN
RNAcentral lists this long non-coding RNA (1097 nucleotides) under Sinocyclocheilus anshuiensis. RNAcentral describes it as "lncRNA (ENSSANG00000013054.1)". The record is from RNAcentral. Lineage: Eukaryota; Metazoa; Chordata; Actinopteri; Cypriniformes; Cyprinidae.